AGAUCUCUCCCAACGUACCUUGA
Molecule: non-coding RNA, 23 nt
Filed under: Arabidopsis thaliana (thale cress)
Lineage: Eukaryota; Viridiplantae; Streptophyta; Magnoliopsida; Brassicales; Brassicaceae
Source: RNAcentral